This is a long non-coding RNA of Episyrphus balteatus (marmalade hoverfly), 3906 nucleotides long. RefSeq lists it as uncharacterized. The record is from RefSeq and is a predicted model, not a curated record. NCBI's taxonomy places the organism in Eukaryota, Metazoa, Arthropoda, Insecta, Diptera, Syrphidae. The transcript is spliced from 4 exons.
GUUGUUUUUAACACGUAAAUUGUUUUGAUUUCAAAAAUCUCGAUGUCGUUUUUUUGCACAAAAUCUAUAUAGAUAAACAAAAAAACACACCUAAUAUCUCGUUUGGUUUUAAACAAAAAAUAAAAAUAGUAGCUGAAAAUGGUUCUUAAAAUCAAGGUGCCAAACACAUAAGGAGUGGCAACAAUAGGCAGUUUUUAAUUUCUAUCAAGUUUAUUUUUUCUUUCAAAUUAAAUUAAUUUUUUUUUUGUUUUUGAUUUGAUUCCGAGUACCGAGUUGUAUUUGCUUCGUCUUCACUUUUCAAGUAUUUUAUUAUAGAGUCCACCUUAAUUUUGUUUAAUUUUUAUUUGUUUUAUUUUUUUCCUUGUCACAAUUUUUGCCGGCAGAAUAAUGCUUCGAACAUUAUUUGUCCGCGAAAAAUUAAGUGGACACUUUUUCUUUACAGCGGCUCCAAAUAUUUAAAUUUUGCGCGUGAACUGCGUACUGCUUCGAAAAAUAAUCAAGACAAAAUCUGUCCCGAGAAAAAAUUUGUAUGAGAAACAAAAUUUUUCCCGAUCUGUGUACUAGGCUUCACAAAGAAAUUUUUUUUUUAUUUUCUGGCAGGCGGCAGGAGCAAUUGAUUAUUCCACAAAUUUUCUCUGUUGAAUGUUGUUCGUGGGUGGUGGUGGCGUCAGGCUGCAGGAGCAGAUGAUUUCCUACGAAAACACAAAAAUUAUUAAUUGAUAAAAUUGCUGCGGAAGCGCAAUUACAAACAUUUCAGCGUUGCAUACCUUUUCUUAGAUUGAAAUAUUACUUAUUAUAAUUAAAAAAAAUAAAGAGAUACGACUUGACAGACUGCAAAAAAAAAUAAGAUGACGCUCUUGUUAUUCUGUUGCCUUUGUCUUUAUUUCUUCAAUUCUCCUUUUCACACAUUUCACAACGCUUCUCCUUCGACUUUGUGUUCAUACACAAAAAGUUGCAAGUUCGUGAGUGCAACAUCGUAUUUCGCGUUUUGAGGACGGAGUGUCAAAAAAGAGCUCCGUUUUCUUGCUUGAAGGGUGGUUUUGCUUUCGGAUAAGUUUUUGACAUUUGGGGUAUGUUCGUAGAUUUAGUCAAACGUGCAUAUAAACGGUGGCCCGUUUAUAUGCAGGGUCGAAAGAUCGAAAUUGAAAUUUGUAUGUGAAAUGGCCCUUCAUGUUAGAAAACCGAGUUCAGAUUUGACGGUCCGACUUUAAAAUGUCAAAUACGAGGGUAAACGAGUUAACACUCACACACUCAAAACUUCUUGUGUAUGAACACAAAGUCGGAGGAGAAUCGUGGUGAAAAAGUGUGAAAAAGAAAACAAUCGUAGGAAAGACAAAAGCAACAAAUAGACAAAGUACAAUGCGUCAUUUAAUUAUUGUUGGUUGCAGUGCUACGUGGUCGUGUGUCGUUUCUCGUCUUGAAACUAAAUUGUUUUAUUUAUAUCGAAAAUUUUAAUAAAAAAAAGGUAUGAAUUGCUUAGGACCAGUUGUACAAAUAUUUAAUCCGUGGAUCAACAACUUUUAUCUUCUAAUAUCGGUAGUUAAGCAGAAGUUUAGCACUGGUUCAAGGUCCAUAUAUGUAAAAAUAGCCACAUUCAUGCUUGAGCCGAAGUUGACCCACAGCUAAUCUGCCGAUAUCGGCGGGUUAAAUUCCUGAACCAAGGCUGACCCACGUUUGUACAACUGGCACUUAGCGUGCUUCAGUGAUUUUAUAAUUAAUUUAAUUUAUCAUUUUUAUGUUUUCCAAGGAGGUCAAUAAAGAGAUGCUAGCUGAAAAUUUUCUCCGGCAUCCUAACCUAAACUACCUCCAAGCCACAACACAGCAACACACAACAGCUACAAUGGUCUUCAAGGAUGGACAUUUUCCAACCGCUGUAUCAUAUCAUCAGAAUAUAUCUAUGGAGUUUGGUAUUAACAGCAUAAGUCCAUUUUUUUCGAAAAUGAGUUGAAUAUGCAGAACUAUUUAAAAAAAACUAUUUUCGUUUAGUCUUAACUGCAUAACUCUAAGUAAACUAGUUCCAAAGAUAUUCAAUGGCCCUAAUCACACUUAACUCAUUUUUCUAAAAUUAUGUGUGAUCAUAAUGGCAUAACUAAAACUUGUGCUGUUUUGACCAAUCAAAAAUGUUUAUACUUUUAAAUAACAAAACAACACAACUUAGUUCCUAGAAAAAUAUUGGCUUUAAGGACACAACUCGAAAUAAGCUUAUUCUUGAACGAAAAUUAGUUUGGUCAAAACAACAUAUCUCACUAAAAAACAUAUAAAUACACUUAAAAAUUAUUUUAUUUACUUUAUUUGUGUAAAUUGCAUCCCAUUAUAUUUGUAUUAAAUAAAACUGAAUUUGGGGGAAUUUUUCAAACUUUAAAAUGCAUUUAUCUCAAAACGACGGUUUUGGACUUAUGUUGUUAAUACCAAACUCCAUAGAUAUUAGGUUUUAUUACCACCGGUCUUAACUGGACAAAAAAAACGCAGUCUGGGCUAAGCAAUUUAAAUGUUAAAUACAACAACACUUUAGCGCCUUGGGCUUAGUUGUUUAGCCCGGAGAAUUCUUUGGGCUUAACUUUUUGAAGAGUUUUAAAUCUGUGCUACCAAAUCAUAAAUUGUUUAGAAUUUGUUUAGAAACGUCAAAACUGACAUUUUAAAUGACAAAAUAAAAUAAAAAAAAAAACAACUAAAAAAAAGAAUUAAAUUUUUUUAAACUGAAAACAAAAUCUUCAAAAACUAAAUACCUGAAGUUAAUCGCACAAUUUCAUCUAUGUAUUCCCUUAAACUUAUAAUUUAUUCGUCUUUGUAAAUGUUCGAUUUCAAUCAGGUAUGCCUUGCCUAUUACAACAAUCUUACAAGCUUUUUUUAAAUUCAUAUAUAUAUCAUACAUAUAUCUGACGACGAAAAUAAUUUGCUGAAGAUGAGCACAUUGAACCGCCCUACUCAGUCCAGCUACACCUGGUCUACAUCGUGUCGGUACCAAUCGAAGAUGAACAUUUGGCUAGAAAAACAAUUUGUUUUUAUGACAAAGAAACAUUUCCAUUGCUCUUUGGGGGUGGAUUUGUAUUUUUAUGGAAAUCCAAAUUAAAACUUAAAAACGAGCCGCUAAUCACACAACGCUUGCAGCAGCAUCUCAAAUGAUUCUACAAUCAGAGUCCAGUCUCAGCAACAGUAAUUAUGUGAAGCAGCGCAACAACAACAGCAUAAGCAAAUUGCUUGGCAAUUGCCAAGACACCAGAUUAUGUAGCUGUGUACAGCGCUCAAUGGACUUAGUAAGCCAGGAAGCAUAUCCAGGUUAUGGUUAUCCCCGCAGUCCACAACCAGGAAUACCUAUUAGUCUACGAGCUGGCGCAGAAGGUCUUUCCAAGUUCCAAUCCUCAGCAGCAUAAACUCAACAGCAAGCCAAAUGAUAAGAAAUUAAAAGCGCGUGGAAUAGAACCUUGCAGAUUUCAUUUUAGGUGUCGUCAUCAAAAUAAGCUAAAAUUCCACAAAGGUGAUUUUGUCCAUCAUGCAACCAAGUCUGCGACAAAUUGCCAAAAUUUUAUAUUCAGCUUGUUGUCCUGCUGCUCUUUUCCUUUCAAAAAUAACUCUAGUAAUAUUUUUGAAUACAAGUUUGAUAAUUAUAAGAUCAAACAAUUACCACAUCCAAAAUGUGAAAAGAAAGUACCUAAUGGCUGCCUGUAUUGCCGAAUUGCCAUGUUGGAAUUCCAAACCAACUUCAUGCAAUCAUAAUUCUAUCAUUUGUCACAAGGAACAAAGAAAACUGCAAACCAUGCAAUGAAGGAUACGAGCAAUUUUAGAAGAGAAAACGAAAACCAAGAGAACGCAAAGUAAUCCCACAAGAAAUCAAAGAAAACAACAAUCAAUUUAAGUUGCUGAUUUGAUCUGCAGCAGCUAUAGCUGUAUUUGUAGCAUUGACAUGUU